UUCCGGUUGAUCCUGCCGGAGGCCAUUGCUAUCGGAGUCCGAUUUAGCCAUGCUAGUCGAGCGAGGUUAGCCCUCGCGGCGAACAGCUCAGUAACACGUGGCCAAGCUACCCUGCAGAGGGGGACAGCGUCGGGAAACUGACGGGAAUCCCCCAUACCGGUCUCACGCUGGAAUGCCGAGACCGACAAACGCUCCGGCGCUGCAGGAUGCGGCUGCGGCCGAUUAGGUAGUCGGUGGGGUAACGGCCCACCGAGCCGAUAAUUGGUACGGGGUGUGAGAGCACGAGCCCGGAGACGGAAUCUGAGACAAGAUUCCGGGCCCUACGGGGCGCAGCAGGCGCGAAACCUUUACACUGCACGAACGUGCGAUAAGGGGACUCCGAGUGCGAGGGCAUACAGUCCUCGCUAUUGUGUACCGUAGGGUGGUACACGACCAAGAGCUGGGCAAGACCGGUGCCAGCCGCCGCGGUAAUACCGGCAGCUCGAGCGAUGGCCGAUUUUAUUGGGCCUAAAGCGUCCGUAGCUGGCCCUGCAAGUCCGUCGGGAAAUCCACUCGCCUAACGAGUGGGCGUCCGGCGGAAACUACAGGGCUUGGGACCGGAAGACUUGAGGGGUACGUCUGGGGUAGGAGUGAAAUCCUGUAAUCCUGGACGGACCGCCGAUAGCGAAAGCACCUCAAGACGACGGAUCCGACAGUGAGGGACGAAAGCUAGGGUCUCGAACCGGAUUAGAUACCCGGGUAGUCCUAGCUGUAAACGAUGUUCGCUAGAUGUGGCACAGGCU
Molecule: ribosomal RNA, 782 nt
Filed under: uncultured archaeon
Lineage: Archaea
Description: bacterial SSU rRNA
Rfam family: Archaeal small subunit ribosomal RNA
Source: RNAcentral